This 508-nucleotide ribosomal RNA is filed under the name uncultured bacterium. RNAcentral describes it as "partial 16S ribosomal RNA". It matches the Rfam family "Bacterial small subunit ribosomal RNA", at positions 28 to 523 of the family's 1533-position model. The record is from RNAcentral.
GACGAACGCUGGCGGCGUGCUUAACACAUGCAAGUGGUGCGACGAACCAGGCUUCGGCCUGGGGCGAAGCCGCGAACGGGUGAGUAACACGUGGGCAAUCUGCCCCUUUGAUCGGGACAACCCGGGGAAACCCGGGCUAAUACCGAAUGAGGUGGCGACUCAUGAGAGUCGUCACGAAGGGAAGCUUCGGCCUCCGCGAAGGGAUGAGCCCGCGGCCCAUUAGCUUGUUGGUGGGGUAAUGGCCUACCAAGGCAACGAUGGGUAGCUGGUCUGAGAGGACGCUCAGCCACACUGGGACUGAGACACGGCCAGACUCCUACGGGAGGCUGCAGUGGGGAAUCUUGCGCAAUGAGCGACAGCUUGACGCAGCAACGCCGCGUGAGGGAAGAAGGCUUUCGGGUCGUAAACCUCUUUCAGUUAGGACGAAGCUUUAUUGGUUAAUAACCAAUUGGAGUGACGGUACUUUCAGAAGAAGCCCCGGCUAACUACGUGCCAGCCGCCGCGGUAA